Molecule: ribosomal RNA, 252 nt
Filed under: uncultured Odoribacter sp.
Lineage: Bacteria; Pseudomonadati; Bacteroidota; Bacteroidia; Bacteroidales; Odoribacteraceae
Description: partial 16S ribosomal RNA
Rfam family: Bacterial small subunit ribosomal RNA
Source: RNAcentral
UACGGAGGAUGCGAGCGUUAUCCGGAUUUAUUGGGUUUAAAGGGUGCGUAGGCGGUAUUUUAAGUUAGUGGUAAAACGUCGGGGCUUCACCUUGAUUGGCCAUUAAAACUGGAGUACUAGAGUACAGACGAGGUAGGCGGAAUAAGUUAAGUAGCGGUGAAAUGCUUAGAUAUCGCGCAGAACUCCGAUUGCGAAGGCAGCAUGCCGGCUCCACACUGACGCUGAGGCACGAAAGCGUGGGUAUCGAACAGG